This 612-nucleotide ribosomal RNA is filed under the name Clostridioides difficile. Its description in RNAcentral is "bacterial SSU rRNA". It matches the Rfam family "Bacterial small subunit ribosomal RNA", at positions 184 to 816 of the family's 1533-position model. Lineage: Bacteria; Bacillati; Bacillota; Clostridia; Peptostreptococcales; Peptostreptococcaceae. The record is from RNAcentral.
AGAGGCAUCUCUUGAAUAUCAAAGGUGAGCCAGUACAGGAUGGACCCGCGUCUGAUUAGCUAGUUGGUAAGGUAACGGCUUACCAAGGCGACGAUCAGUAGCCGACCUGAGAGGGUGAUCGGCCACAUUGGAACUGAGACACGGUCCAAACUCCUACGGGAGGCAGCAGUGGGGAAUAUUGCACAAUGGGCGAAAGCCUGAUGCAGCAACGCCGCGUGAGUGAUGAAGGCCUUCGGGUCGUAAAACUCUGUCCUCAAGGAAGAUAAUGACGGUACUUGAGGAGGAAGCCCCGGCUAACUACGUGCCAGCAGCCGCGGUAAUACGUAGGGGGCUAGCGUUAUCCGGAUUUACUGGGCGUAAAGGGUGCGUAGGCGGUCUUUCAAGUCAGGAGUGAAAGGCUACGGCUCAACCGUAGUAAGCUCUUGAAACUGGGAGACUUGAGUGCAGGAGAGGAGAGUGGAAUUCCUAGUGUAGCGGUGAAAUGCGUAGAUAUUAGGAGGAACACCAGUUGCGAAGGCGGCUCUCUGGACUGUAACUGACGCUGAGGCACGAAAGCGUGGGGAGCAAACAGGAUUAGAUACCCUGGUAGUCCACGCUGUAAACGAUGAGUAC